Molecule: ribosomal RNA, 254 nt
Filed under: uncultured bacterium
Lineage: Bacteria
Description: partial 16S ribosomal RNA
Rfam family: Bacterial small subunit ribosomal RNA
Source: RNAcentral
CACGUAGGGUGCGAGCGUUGUCCGGAAUUAUUGGGCGUAAAGAGCUCGUAGGCGGUGUGUCGCGUCGGCCGUGAAAACCUGCAGCUUAACUGUGGGCUUGCGGUCGAUACGGGCAUCACUGGAGUUCGGCAGGGGAGACUGGAAUUCCUGGUGUAGCGGUGAAAUGCGUAGAUAUCAGGAAGAACACCCGUGGCUAAGGCGGCUCUCUAGUACGGUACUGACGCUGAGACGCGAAAGCGUGGGGAGCAAACAGG